RNAcentral lists this ribosomal RNA (271 nucleotides) under Methanobacterium veterum. RNAcentral's name for it is "partial 23S ribosomal RNA". It matches the Rfam family "Archaeal large subunit ribosomal RNA", at positions 1547 to 1817 of the family's 2987-position model. Lineage: Archaea; Methanobacteriati; Methanobacteriota; Methanobacteria; Methanobacteriales; Methanobacteriaceae. The record is from RNAcentral.
UGCGGCAACGCUAGAUUUAGUUUCUGACGCUUUGAGGUAGGCCGUGUGGGAUUGUCGUCCCAUUUAAUUGUUGAAGCCUGAGGAGAGCUGUAAUAGCGAGAAUUAGGUGUAUGCUUGAAUAGCCGUCCUUAUGGAUGGUUCGGUUGAUCCAUGGAGCCCUUGAAAAGGAAAUUAUUUGAAUUCUUUGUUUUCGUACCGAGAUCCGACACAGGUGCCCCUAGGUGAGAAGCCUAAGGCGUGUUAGGGUAAACCAGCUAAGGGAAAUCGGCAA